RNAcentral lists this long non-coding RNA (422 nucleotides) under Mus spicilegus (steppe mouse). Its description in RNAcentral is "lncRNA (ENSMSIG00000010720.1)". The record is from RNAcentral. Lineage: Eukaryota; Metazoa; Chordata; Mammalia; Rodentia; Muridae.
GAAAAACCUCAGAAAGGAGGGAAUUGUCCGAAGCUGACCAGUCCUCUGGCUUCAGUCUUUCCAUGACUACAGCCACAUGGAGAAACUGAGGGUGGCUGACACGUCUUCUGGACUAACCUCACCCUGAAAGCUCCGAGCUGGACAAAUUGAAUUGGCCUCAGAGGAACUGGGGUCAAGGGCCUGGCCAGAACAUCAUGUGAAUGUGUUCCAAGGGUUCGCUUCAGUCCUGACUGCUGAGGUCCAGGGUCAGAAGCGUUACCAAGCUGAGGCUGUGGCUUAGCAGCAGAAGGGUUGCCUAGCAUGAUAUAAAGCCCUGAGUUUGACCUCCACUUAUACAACACACAUCCAAGGCCAGAGGCCCUAUAUCCAUGAUCUGUCCUGCUUUUGCCUUCAGUCCCUCCCCACACACAGUGUGCUCUAAG